RNAcentral lists this unclassified non-coding RNA (2477 nucleotides) under Hevea brasiliensis (rubber tree). The record is from RNAcentral. Lineage: Eukaryota; Viridiplantae; Streptophyta; Magnoliopsida; Malpighiales; Euphorbiaceae.
GGAAAACAAAUGAACCCAAUCCAGCUCGCUAUCACCCUGUGUAUGGUGGAGGCGGGUGGUAGGUGCCGUCCGUGGUGGCGGGAGAUGUGGUGUUUGAGAUGAGACAACAGUGGUGCAAUUUGAAGGCUAAUGGAAUGGAUAAUGUAGAUAAGAGGUGAUGUGACUGUGAGCGUGAUACUGGAAGUGGUGGCGCAGGCGAAGUGCCAGUGGCUGACGAUGGUGAAAUUUUUCUGUUUACGCAAGGCAGCUAUAAUUUCUUAUCUAAUUUUUAGAAGAGACCUCAAAUUUGUCUUCAUCGCCGUUACGUUAGUGGAAACCCCCACCCCCUCCCCCCCCACUUAACAAAUACUCGGGAAGCCUGGUUCGACUGAUGAGCUUUUACAUUAUCUUUGUGUGUUUGUGUUCAGGUACCUUAAAGGAAAUAAGCUUAAUGGAUCAAUCCCCACAUGGCUCGCUGGUUCAAAAACCUUACAUGCGUAUGUCUUCGUAUUCAUACUUUUCUCGUAGCUAUUGUUUCUUAAUGUGGAGUGUUGUACACCACUACACUAAUACUCCAUUGAUUUUACAAUUUCUUAAUGUUUUCAGAAGGGUUUUGAGAAAAUAAUAUGCCUUGCUAUUAUGGAAUGGUUACAAGAGCUACAUUUCCUACUAUGACCCAUUACGCCUUGAAUAAUGUGAAAAUUUUUGGGCAAGACACUUCUUAAAUCAUCAAUAAUGAAUACCAAGGAGGCAAGGACCAUAAUUUCAGACAAAGAUGACUAAGAAUUGAUUUCCAACUUUGUUUUUUUAAUGAAACUUUCAUACCUUCAAAAUUUUCAGGGUUACUGUUUGAAAUAUUUCUUGCCAAUUUUAUGAUUAUAUUUCAGGGACAUCUCAGAAAAUAAUUUUACAAGCGUAUCCAUACAACCAGAAGGCAUAGCCCCAAAUGUGUAAGAGACACAUGUCAAUGACGCUACCCUUUGUGCUAUAUCUUCACCUCUAUCACUAAUUUAACUUUAUUCUUGUAUUAGUUACAUAAUGACGUGUUGUAGUUCAUAUAUUUGUCAGGAACUCUUUUGCAUGCUGUGCUGAAACAGCAAAUCUGAGCACGGCAUGGCAGAGAGUUGACUACUAUUGCCCCAUUGCUAAAUCAUUGAAUGAUCACUUGUAUAUAAACUGUGGCGGAGAGGGGGUGCUAAUUAAUGGAGUUCAUUAUCAAGCUGAUACACAACCUGAUGGAGGAUCAACGUUCUUUUUAAGUGAUGAUACAAGUUGGGGUUACAGUAGUGAAGGGAUUUUUAUGGACACAGGCCAUGAACAGUACAUUCUGAAAAAAUCAUGUGGAAUUCCCAGCGAUUAUGCACCUCUAUAUAAGACAGCUCGUGUUUCACCUAUCUCCCUGAAGUAUUAUGGUUUUUGUAUGAAAAAUGAAAAAUACAUGGUGAAACUUCACUUUGCGGAGAUUAUGUAUGGAGAAAAUAAAGAUCCUAGUAGCAAGGGGAAGCGUUUGUUUGAUGUGGCAAUUCAGGGCAAGAAGGUAUUGGAAAAUUUCAAUAUUAGAGAAUCUGCUAUGGGUGUGAAUAAAAAUGUAACUUUGGACUUCAUUGCUACUGUGAGGAACCAUCGACUGGAGAUCCACUUGUAUUGGACUGGCAAGGGCUCAAUUCGUACUCCAAUGGAAUAUUAUGGUCCUCUUAUAUCUGCUAUUUCUGUUUUUCCUGUUCCUAGAAAACCCGGCACAAAAUUAUCACCAAUGAUUAUUGCUGCUCUCAUAGGAUCUGCAUUGCUUCUCCCACUAUUAAUUUUAGUUUUCAUGCGUAAACAAGGCUUUCUUGGUGGAAAAGAUUUGCAUAGCAAAGAACUAAAAGGUCUUGAACUACAACCAGGAGUUUCUUUGAACUUCCGGCAAAUAAAAGCUGCCACACGGAACUUCAAUCCUGUGAACAAGAUUGGUGAAGGAGGUUUUGGAUCUGUAUAUAAGGGUGUACUUCCAAAUGGGACGGCAAUAGCAGUCAAACAACUGUCAUCAAAAUCAAAGCAAGGCACUCGUGAGUUUGUAAAUGAAGUGGGAACUAUUUUUGCAUUGCAACAUCCAAAUCUUGCUAAGCUAUUGGGUUGUUGCGCAGAAGAUAACCAACUCUUGCUCGUCUAUGAGUACAUGGAAAAUAAUUCCCUUGCACAUGUGUUAUUUGGUUCAGAGGAGCUAAGGUUGAAACUCAACUGGCCAAUUAGGUUCAAAAUCUGCCUUGGUAUAGCUAAGGGUCUGGCUUUUCUCCAUGAAGAAUCUAAGCUGAAGGUUGUCCAUAGAGAUAUCAAACCCACAAAUGUGCUGCUUGACAAGGAUCUCAAUGCAAAAAUAUCGGACUUUGGACUUGCUAAACUCUAUGAAGCAGAGAAGACACAUGUUAUCACUAGAAUUGCUGGAACAACAGGAUACAUGGCUCCAGAGUAUGCCAUGCGGGGCCAUUUAACAAAUAAAGCAGAUGUUUACAGCUUUG